Molecule: ribosomal RNA, 501 nt
Filed under: uncultured bacterium
Lineage: Bacteria
Description: bacterial SSU rRNA
Rfam family: Bacterial small subunit ribosomal RNA
Source: RNAcentral
CGAGACGACGCUGGCGGCGUGGAUUAGGCAUGCAAGUACGGACGGUAGGGACUUUACUCGUAAGAUAGAGGUUUGAGAGUGGCGAACGGGUGAGUAACACGUAGGAAUCUACCCUUAAGACGGGGACAACCCAGGGAAACUUGGGCUAAUACCGGAUGAGAGUGCGAGAGAUUGCAUUUAAAAGGAUGGCGAAAGUUGUCGCUUAGGGAUGAGCCUGCGGUCUAUUAGUUAGUUGGUGAGGUAAGAGCUCACCAAGGCGAUGAUAGAUAGGCGGCCUUAACGGGUGGUCGCCCACACUGGGAUUGAGAUACGGCCCAGACUCCUACGGGAGGCAGCAGUCGAGAAUAGUCUACAAUGGCCGGAAGGCUGAUAGUGCGACGCCGCGUGAACGAGGGAGCCCUUCGGGGUGUAAAGUUCUUUUCUAUACGAGCAGUGCUAUAUAUAUGGAUAGUAUAUAUAGAGGGAUAGUAGUAUAGGAAUAAGCAACGGCUAACCUCCGUG